UACGUAGGUGGCAAGCGUUGUCCGGAUUUAUUGGGUUUAAAGGGUGCGUAGGCGGCUUGAUAAGUCAGUGGUGAAAGCCGAUCGCUUAACGAUCGAACUGCCAUUGAUACUGUUGGGCUUGAGUAUAGAUGAGGUAGGCGGAAUUGACAGUGUAGCGGUGAAAUGCAUAGAUAUUGUCAAGAACACCAAUUGCGAAGGCAGCUUACUAAGUUAUAACUGACGCUGAGGCACGAAAGUGCGGGGAUCAAACAGG
Molecule: ribosomal RNA, 253 nt
Filed under: uncultured Cytophaga sp.
Lineage: Bacteria; Pseudomonadati; Bacteroidota; Cytophagia; Cytophagales; Cytophagaceae
Description: partial 16S ribosomal RNA
Rfam family: Bacterial small subunit ribosomal RNA
Source: RNAcentral